CCCGCUGAACUUAAGCAUAUCAAUAAGAGGAGGAAGAGAAACUAACAAGGAUUCCCCUAGUAACGGCGAGUGAAGAGGGAAAAGCUCAAAUUUAAAAUCUGGCGGUCAGGUUUGAUCGUCCGAGUUGUAAAUUAGAGAAGUGUUAUCAGCGCUGUAUCGUGCAAAAGUCUCUUGUAAAGUGAGCAUCAUAGAGGGUGACAAUCCCGUCUUUGGCACGGACUACCAGGGCAUUUGUGAUGCGCUCUCGAAGAGUCGAGUUGUUUGGGAAUGCAGCUCUAAGUGGGUGGUAAAUUCCAUCUAAAGCUAAAUAUUGGCGAGAGACAGAUAGCGCACAAGUACCGUGAGGGAAAGAUGAAAAGGACUUUGAAAAGAGAGUUAAACAGUACGUAAAAUUGUUGAAAGGGAAACGCUUGAAGUCAGUUCAUGUCCUUCAGAAAUCAACUUUGACCUUUGCGGGUCGAGUGCACUUUCUGUUGCGACGGGUCAGCAUCAAUUUUGACCGCCGGAGAAAGGCUUGGGGAAAGUGACAUCCUUCGCUGAUGUGUUAUAGCCCCUUGUACGUAUACGGUGGUCGGGAUUGAGGAACGCAGCGCAUUCAACUGGGGCAAACUGUCGCUCACACAUGCGCUUAGGAUGCUGGCUUAAUGGCUUUAAUCGACCCGUCUUGAAACACGG
RNAcentral lists this ribosomal RNA (675 nucleotides) under uncultured fungus. Its description in RNAcentral is "eukaryotic LSU rRNA". It matches the Rfam family "Eukaryotic large subunit ribosomal RNA", at positions 24 to 664 of the family's 3401-position model. The record is from RNAcentral. Lineage: Eukaryota; Fungi.